This 305-nucleotide unclassified non-coding RNA is filed under the name plant metagenome. RNAcentral's name for it is "partial contains 5.8S ribosomal RNA, internal transcribed spacer 2, and large subunit ribosomal RNA". The stretch from base 1 to 105 matches the Rfam family "5.8S ribosomal RNA", at positions 50 to 154 of the family's 154-position model. The record is from RNAcentral.
GAAAUGCGAUAAGUAGUGUGAAUUGCAGAAUUCAGUGAAUCAUCGAAUCUUUGAACGCACAUUGCGCCCCUUGGUAUUCCAUGGGGCAUGCCUGUUCGAGCGUCAUCUACACCCUCAAGCUCUGCUUGGUGUUGGGCGUCUGUCCCGCCCCCGCGCGUGGACUCGCCCCAAAUCCAUUGGCAGCGUUCCUUGCCCCCUCUCGCGCAGCACAUUGCGCUUCUCGAGGGCGGCUCCGGGACGCGAUCCAGCAAGAUGACCACCGUCUUUGACCUCGGAUCAGGUAGGGAUACCCGCUGAACUUGAGC